GAUCAUGGCUCAGGAUGAACGCUAGCGGCAGGCUUAACACAUGCAAGUCGAGGGGCAGCACGAGGUAGCAAUACUUUGGUGGCGACCGGCGCACGGGUGCGUAACGCGUAUGCAACCUACCUUUAACAGGGGCAUAACACUGAGAAAUUGGUACUAAUUCCCCAUAACAUUCGAGAAGGCAUCUUCUUGGGUUAAAAACUACCGGUGGUUAAAGAAUGGGCAUGCGUUGUAUUAGCUAGUUGGUGAGGUAACGG
RNAcentral lists this ribosomal RNA (254 nucleotides) under uncultured bacterium. Its description in RNAcentral is "partial 16S ribosomal RNA". It matches the Rfam family "Bacterial small subunit ribosomal RNA", at positions 15 to 263 of the family's 1533-position model. The record is from RNAcentral.